Molecule: long non-coding RNA, 630 nt
Organism: Ochotona princeps (American pika)
Lineage: Eukaryota; Metazoa; Chordata; Mammalia; Lagomorpha; Ochotonidae
Exons: 2
Source: RefSeq, a predicted model, not a curated record
GAUCUGGAAGCUGGAAGACACUGUGGAUGAGCUGAAUGAAGAUUUCUUCUGGCUCAGUGCCCAGGCCCUGGAGCUGCAGAAAGAGGACACUGAGCCAGAGAGACUGUGCCCAGGGGAAGGCAACACCUUUGUGGUUGCUGCCGGCAUCUCACCCAGAGUAUGGCAGGAUGGCAAACUUGACCCAGCUGAACUGGACAGCCCAGGCAAAGAGAAGCUGGAAACUCCAGCCCUACAGAGUGAGCAGGCCUUGGUGCUGGAGGUGAGGAGGGUCCACCUGGCCCAGCAAAUUGAGAACCUGGAGUGGGAGCUGUCUCUACUCCUCCAGGCGGUAGCUGGCAAGGCUAGCCUCAACAGCCCUGAGUCCCACAGGACAGAGCAGUGGCCACCUGUGGGAGGUGCCUUUCCCACUAAGGAGACAACUAGAUGCUCCUGGCAGGUCUGAAGAGCUCCAUGCACUACUGCUUGCCCCCUGGGCUGUUGGUGGUGUGCCAGAGCUGCAGUGUGGGCUGGUGACGGCUGGUCCUGUGCGGAGCAUCUGGGCCACCGUCAGAGCCUAGUCCACUACACCUACUGGACUCUGCCUUUGUCCCUUUUGCAGUGGGGACAAAUAAAGUCAUGUGGUUUGAGGGA